Molecule: long non-coding RNA, 678 nt
Organism: Mastomys coucha (southern multimammate mouse)
Lineage: Eukaryota; Metazoa; Chordata; Mammalia; Rodentia; Muridae
Exons: 2
Source: RefSeq, a predicted model, not a curated record
CAGGCAGAGACCAAAUGGGCACAGCUCUCGGUGUUGCCUGCCUGCUCAGAGGGUGCCCUGUGGUUUCCGAUCUCACCAAAAUGCUUUCACUGGGUAUACAGCCAGUAUUAAGAAACAAGUUAAGAGCCUGCAUUUAUUGGUUUGGUGAAAACUCUGGAGUAUUCUCAGGGUUCAAGUUCAAGACCCCUCCUUCCAUGACAUGCCCAUCUCCCUACCAAGAGCCAGACUUGAGGAGCUAUUUAUUGGCAGCACCAUGUCUGCUCACUGUUCUCUUCCUGUUUGCCAAGUGGUUCCUGUGGGUGAGCUGGUUACUGAAACCACACUUCUUGACUCAAUAGAAAGGAUAUCUCAGACCCCCUGAAUGAAGGCGGGAAAAUGGCCAAGUAAAAUAAUCUAAGAAGACAGAAGGACUUAGCAAGCAAUUGUAUUAAGGAGGCUAUGCUCCACUACAUGGAACUCUGCUCUAUUCCCGGCAGAAGCCUCAGUAACAUGGCUGGACCUCACAGAUGGUUAACUGGACACAGGGCAUAGAUAUGCCAAAGAUACAUGAGGAGCCCAAUGAAUCAAUGCAUGGGAAGUCUACUGUGUCUCCAUGGAAACUUAGGAAAGGCUAUGGCAUUAAGUAUUUUUAAUAGAAUAUAAUCAAAUAGUAGUAUAAAUAUGUCCUUUUUAGAACAA